GCGAUAGGGGGACAUCGAGUGGCAUCCACCUUGGGUGCCUGUCCAACCGUCUAAAAAACGGUUGUUAGCAAGGGCCGGGUAAGACCGGUGCCAGCCGCCGCGGUAAUACCGGCGGCUCGAGUGGUGGCCGAUAUUAUUGAGUCUAAAGGGUCCGUAGCCGGCUUUGCAAGUCCCCUGGGAAAUCCAGCGGCUUAACCGUUGGGCUUUCAUGGGAUACUACAUUGCUUGGGACUGGGAGAGGUAGGAGGUACUCGGGGGGUAGGGGUGAAAUCCUGUAAUCCUCCGGGGACCACCGGUGGCGAAGGCGUCCUACCAGAACAGGUCCGACGGUGAGGGACGAAAGCUAGGGGCACGAACCGGAUUAGAUACCCGGGUAGUCCUAGCCGUAAACGAUGCCCGCUAGGUGUCACGACGGUCGUGAAUCGUCGUGGUGCCGUAGGGAAGCCGCGAAGCGGGCCACUUGGGAAGUACGGCCGCAAGGCUGAAACUUAAAGGAAUUGGCGGGGGAGCAC
This 512-nucleotide ribosomal RNA is filed under the name uncultured archaeon. RNAcentral's name for it is "bacterial SSU rRNA". It matches the Rfam family "Archaeal small subunit ribosomal RNA", at positions 367 to 879 of the family's 1478-position model. The record is from RNAcentral.